This is an RNA transcript of Nicotiana tabacum (common tobacco), 2907 nucleotides long. RefSeq lists it as uncharacterized. Lineage: Eukaryota; Viridiplantae; Streptophyta; Magnoliopsida; Solanales; Solanaceae. The record is from RefSeq and is a predicted model, not a curated record.
ACAACUAAAGAAGGGCUAGGGUUGAAUGAUUGAAUCUAGGAUUCGGAAAGGAAGCAUCGAGAGUCCAAAAGACUUCUCUAGCAAACUCAACAAUCUUGUUGUGAACUCUAUAAUCUUCCAAUAUUUUUCAAAAAUCUCCCACACGUUUUCCCGCCACCCAACUGAUUAUUAAGCUUCUUCAACAAUCAACUUUCCUUUCGGUUAACAACACAAUAAAAUUGACGAAAUGAGAAGUUGAAAAAUGGGAAUCCAUGGCUACUCAAAGAAAUAGCAGCUCUAAAUCCAUGAACAACAAUAAGAGGCAACCAUUAUCCGACAUCUCCAAUUUCAAUCUCAUACCCACUUCUACUCUCCGCAAGCUUGUCUCCUCCUCCUCCGCUUCUUCUUCCAAACCUCAAAAUGUUUUCCAAAAACCCCCAAUUUCUGUUUCAAAUUCUGAUUCCAAUAUCUCAAAACCCAACAACAACUCGCCUAAUAACAAUUCCACGGAGGAAAACUCUGGAAUCAGCGUCGCAUCUUCCAAUUUCAACUCUGCUCGAAACCCUAACCCCCUCGAUAUUUCUACUGUUCGUCGUGUUGCUCGUGUGCCUGACUAUUCAUUAACCACUCCUGCAGGCAGGGAUAAUGAAGCUGUAGUUUAUAAUCGAAGGCAGGCUACGAAGAAGUCUAAUUUGGAAGCUACUAAUCCGACCUUCACUUCCAGUCUUCAUGAAAACAAAAGAGAUAAAAGGAAAGAGAUUGAUGAGCCUUUCCUUUCCCUGCCUCCUACAAUCUCAAAGGAUAAAGGGAAGGCAAUUGUUGAGUCAUUCAGUAGCUUGUCUCCUGAGACUAAGGAAGAUAAGGGGAAAGGAGUUGUUGUUCUAUCUACCCCAGUUUCAGGAAAUAAGAAAAACAAGGGAAUAGUUAUUCAUGAGCCUUUUGUGUCUUCAUCUCCUCAGAGGGUAAAUGACAAAGCUAAGACAAUUUCUCAUGAGCACUUUCCUACAGAUGAAAAAACAGCAGAAGAAAAAGUUGGUGUUUUGACUCGGAGUUCCGCAUCUUUAAAGAAAACAAAGGGAAAAGGGAUGGAAGACGCAUCAGUUUUUAGUUGUCCUACUUUUCCAAAGACAAGAACCCAUAGGAGUAAAUUCAACGGAGCUGGUGAUAUUAAACCCUCAGGUUCAUGGACGGAACCUAAUGGAAAGCGUAAGAAGAGGCGGAAACCUGUCCUUGAAAAUUCCUUGCCAGAAGAUUUUGUCAACUACUGGCGAAAGCAUUUUCAAGAGGUUGAUGAGUUUGAAUUGCCAGAAGAGGAAGCAUCGUACAGUGAUUUGGACUAGAAAGGAAAGGAAUAGUGUUUGACAAGAAGCAGAUCUAGUCUGACCAGUUGACCCUCCCUGUAUAGUAAUGCCCAUAUACUUCAUAAACGUGUUGAUGUACCAGACUUACAUAGUUAUCAAUGAUCAGGUAACACGUUCGCGACAAACAGACAUAUUCACAUUUCGAAAGCCAUAAAAUUUGGUGAAUUUCUCGAUCAAAAUGGAGGUCGUUAUAGGAGGUUCUGUAGCUUUGUACUUUUCUUUGGCAUGAGAAUACCUAUUUAUUGCCUGAGCAAGGGAAUUCAUUUGCCAGAAGGACAAGGCAAAACCCUUUAGAAUGCAUUCAACAGAGACGCACAAACAUGAGCGUGAAUGGAUGCACAUAUAAUUGGUUAAAAUGUUGAUUUUGUUAACUUCACAUCAUGGGUGCAAUUUCCACUUUCCAUGUGUUAAUGUACAUCAGUACAUCUUUGGUUUGAAUCUGGUAUCGGGGUCUUCCUGAAUUAAUGAAAAUUGGCUUGAUAAUUUUGUGAAACUAAGAACAAGUAUUUCUUAAGUUAAAUUCUUAACCUUGUAACUGUAACAUAGUAUCUAACCAAUCAGGGUAGAACAUGGGAGUAGGAAGGGCUUGGAGGACUGCAUCCUUGAAAUGGCUUAUAGGCUUAUGCAGGGAUGGAGAUAGAAGCCUGUAUGCAGGUUUGGUCGAUCCCAAUAGAUUUUGUAUAAACUGCGUAUUUUUCAUUAAAUAUGUACACAUAUUAAAUUUAGAACCUAAUUACUAAUACUUGAAAUCGUCAUUCUAACAUCAAGAACCCAUAAAGUUCAAAUCUUGGCUUUGCAUCUGGGCUUAUGGUGUUGCUAUUAAUAAUUUGUGUUGCUUGUAUUAGUUUGUUAUAAAUAUCCAUAGUUGGAGGAACUGUUUAAGUAAACAAAGAUUUUGGAACUACAGAUGUAUAGUACAGUAUGUUGAUUAGAAGAUGAACUGUUAAGUUCUAAAUUCAAGUCUUUUGUGGGCUUCUCCUUGUCUAUGCAAGCAUGCUGCCUUCAUUAAAUGAAGGUACAUGCUGAAAGGUGAAUGUGAUGUCAAUAAAGAAUGAUGUUUGUCAAUGUGGUGGUGUGAUACUUUUAAAUUUUUUUCAUCGCUUUCUAUUGUGUGUAUAAAAUAGAAGACAUGCUCUGCGCUGUUGAUGGUUCUCAAGCAUGUCAUAUUCAAAGCUUCAAAGGCUUUAUAUUAUCACUAUGAAAUCAUCAAUCUUUAUUUAGUUGUUUACUUUUGAUAAAUAUUGACAUAGAAGGAUAUAUAGAAACUUGUGACAAUAUUGAACCUUGUGCACUCUUAUCAAGUUUGGUGGCUUAUAAUUUGAUUACUAUCUUGGAAUCAUUCUAAAGACAAAGGUAUUUGGUUUUGUGCUUUCUAUAGAGUAUCGUAUUGUCUAAUACCACUUGAGGUUAUUAACUAGCUUGUGUUCUUCUCCUGGUUUACCAUCCUUAGCUUGUUCUUUGGCAGCAUGGAACUUAUACAUAUAGUUGACAUAUGCUUGCAGUAUGUUGAAGUUUCCAUUGGAACAUAAUAGAUUGCAGUAUUAGUGUCUGACUCAGCAAUUAAAAG